UAAAAAAUUUUGGCGGUAUUUUAAGCUUAUUAGAGGAAUUUGCUCUGUGAUGGACACAACGCCUUAAUCUUACUUAAUUUAGUAAUUUAAAUCAGUUUGUAUACCACUAUAUUAAUUAUAUUGAAUAGUUAUAUUUAAAAUUUUUUUUAAAAAAUAUAUUAAGUCAAGGUGCAUCUAAUAAUUAUGAAUGAAGUGAAUUACAUUAAUUUUAAUGUAAUUUUUUACAUGAAAAAAUUAAUUAGGAUUUAAUAGUAAAAUACUAAUAUUAUGAGUAUUUGAAUCAAGCUCUAAAAUAUGCACAUAUCGCCCGUCGCUCUCAGAAGUGAGAUAAGUCGUAACAAAGUAAAAAUACUGGAAAGUGUUUUUUAAAAUGAAAUCAUUUGAUGUUUCAUUUACAAUGAAAAUUUUGUUGUUUAACCAUUUUAA
RNAcentral lists this ribosomal RNA (426 nucleotides) under Ixodes scapularis (black-legged tick). Its description in RNAcentral is "partial 12S ribosomal RNA". The record is from RNAcentral. Lineage: Eukaryota; Metazoa; Arthropoda; Arachnida; Ixodida; Ixodidae.